Molecule: long non-coding RNA, 858 nt
Filed under: Homo sapiens (human)
Lineage: Eukaryota; Metazoa; Chordata; Mammalia; Primates; Hominidae
Description: HSALNT0174125
Source: RNAcentral
GGCAGCCUUGACUCCUGAGCUCAAGCAAUCUUCCCGUCUCACAAUGCCUGGCUAAUUUUUUAUUUUAUUUUUUUAGAGAUGGUGUCUGGCUAUGGUGCCCAGGCUGGUCUUGAAAUCCUGGGCUCAAGUAUUCCUUCUGCCUCAGCCUCCCAGUGUGCUGGGAUUACAGGGAUGAGCCACUGUGCCCUGCUGGAAGGGUCAACUGGACAGAGAAAAAAGGACAUUGAACGAAGACACUCUGAAUUCAAAGGACAGAGAACAAAGACCCUGGCUUAUUUGGAAAUCAACCUCCUUCCCUAAUCUGCCAUGUAUUUGAUAUCUAUCGUUAUUGGUAUUUUAAAUAUAAGGACGUUUUAAAUAUGACCUCAAAUUCUUUGACAAUGCUUCCUCUUGAAUGUGGGCUGGUCCUAAUGACUAGCUUCCAAUGAGUAGAAAUUGCAGAAAUGAUGUGUUAAUUUUGAGGCUACAUCAUAAAAGACAAAGAUAAUGCAGCUUCCAUCUCCGUCCCUCUUCCAUCUUGCUCUGUAGGAAGCCAGCUUCCAUUUUGUAAGGACAUUCCAAUAGCCUAAGAAGCAAUGCCCAUGGUUAGGAACCGAAAUCUCCUGCCAAAUGACAAAUGAGUGACCAUCUCAGGAACAGCUCCCUUACCCCACCAAGCCUUCAGAGAGGACUGCAGCUCCAGCCAAAACCUUAGUUGCAACCACAUGAGAGAGCCUGAGUCAGCCAUUCAACUGAAGUGUUCCCAGACUCCUGACCCACAGAAAUCCACAGAUAAUAAAAGUUUGGUUUCAACCACUAUGUUUUGGGGUAAUCUAUUAUGUAGCAGUAGAUAAUUAAUAUAAUUUGUCUGCACACUGG